Molecule: transfer RNA, 77 nt
Filed under: Rana coreana (Korean brown frog)
Lineage: Eukaryota; Metazoa; Chordata; Amphibia; Anura; Ranidae
Description: tRNA-Leu
Source: RNAcentral
UACCUACCAAUAGCCCCAAUAAAAUUAUAUUACGUCACGUUCCACACAACCUUAACAUCACAUGACACUAACUCUUU